AUGCCCAAUUGGGCCUGGCCCGACGGAUGCAAAACGAGGCUCCCAGCCAGGCUGAGGGGAUACGCAAGUUUCGGCCGUUUCCGCGCGCCUGCAUCCGCGCCUGCACCCGCACCUGCGAACGUGGCUAGGGUCUCUCUUCCAAUCGGCUCACAACCUCUCAUUCACGCCGCUCUCCUCGCUCCUCUCCUCUCCCGUGCGACGCUGGAUCUCGCCGCCCCGUCGCCUUUGUGCACGUCGUCGGCGCGCCCCCUCGCUGCUGCGCAGAUGCAGAUGGGUGAGCGGACAGAGCGGCGGCCUCCUCCGGCCACGGAUGAGAAGGAAGACAAGGUGAGAAUUAGAGAUGUUCGUCGAGCUCUGUGUGUGGCUGGCCCCGAUGUUUUUCCUUCUCUCAACGCCCCAUCUGGAUUAGUCCACCAAACACACUUCUCUAUUCCUUCUUGCAUCAGCUCAACCAGGCUAGCCUCAACCAAGCUCCUUCAUGCAAUGCAGGCUAGAGCUCCCCAGGGAACCAAACACGCCCAUAGGCGUAUUGGUGUUCGGCCCAACAACCACUGCUGUUCCCCGACCCGCGGUAGCACUGAUUGGCCUGGACCGCCACUCUGGUACAGGGCUGUGUUUCGAAAUAGCACAGGUUGGCUCGGCAUCCCCUUUUCUUCCACAGAAGCUCAGCUCGGCGGCUGCUGUCUUCUUUCAGACACACGCAUAACAGCGGUAGUUCUCCAUGGGCGAUAUGUCGACAGAUGGACUCGUCCUCGACGGGAGGAGGGGAGCAAAGUUCGCUGGAUGGAAUUCGGCCAUGCUACCAGUGGAAUCCCAGGAUUCCAUGAGUGUUGCAGCUGUAGAGAUGGACAAGGGCGGCAAAGCACAGCAAGCUGUAGGUGGACAGAGAUACGAGCCGGAAGAUGUAAUUAUAGGUGGGUAAGGCUGGGUAAAUCACCUGAUGAGAGGGAGAUGAUCCCCGACAGGAAGACAUCACUUGAAUUGUCUGUCCGUGCUUACGCAGAGAAUGGGGAAGGCCAUGUUAUGAAUCCCAAGAUUGGCACAACAUUUGACUCUCUCAAUGAGGCCUAUUGA
Molecule: ribosomal RNA, 1074 nt
Filed under: Triticum aestivum (bread wheat)
Lineage: Eukaryota; Viridiplantae; Streptophyta; Magnoliopsida; Poales; Poaceae
Description: partial small subunit ribosomal RNA
Source: RNAcentral